RNAcentral lists this ribosomal RNA (603 nucleotides) under Streptococcus mutans. RNAcentral's name for it is "bacterial SSU rRNA". It matches the Rfam family "Bacterial small subunit ribosomal RNA", at positions 364 to 957 of the family's 1533-position model. Lineage: Bacteria; Bacillati; Bacillota; Bacilli; Lactobacillales; Streptococcaceae. The record is from RNAcentral.
UUCGGCAAUGGACGAAAGUCUGACCGAGCAACGCCGCGUGAGUGAAGAAGGUUUUCGGAUCGUAAAGCUCUGUUGUAAGUCAAGAACGUGUGUGAGAGUGGAAAGUUCACACAGUGACGGUAGCUUACCAGAAAGGGACGGCUAACUACGUGCCAGCAGCCGCGGUAAUACGUAGGGUCCCGAGCGUUGUCCGGAUUUAUUGGGCGUAAAGGGAGCGCAGGCGGUCAGGAAAGUCUGGAGUAAAAGGCUAUGGCUCAACCAUAGUGUGCUCUGGAAACUGUCUGACUUGAGUGCAGAAGGGGAGAGUGGAAUUCCAUGUGUAGCGGUGAAAUGCGUAGAUAUAUGGAGGAACACCAGUGGCGAAAGCGGCCCUCUGGUCUGUCACUGACGCUGAGGCUCGAAAGCGUGGGUAGCGAACAGGAUUAGAUACCCUGGUAGUCCACGCCGUAAACGAUGAGUGCUAGGUGUUAGGCCCUUUCCGGGGCUUAGUGCCGGAGCUAACGCAAUAAGCACUCCGCCUGGGGAGUACGACCGCAAGGUUGAAACUCAAAGGAAUUGACGGGGGCCCGCACAAGCGGUGGAGCAUGUGGUUUAAUUCGAAGC